RNAcentral lists this ribosomal RNA (661 nucleotides) under uncultured Bacteroidales bacterium. RNAcentral describes it as "bacterial SSU rRNA". It matches the Rfam family "Bacterial small subunit ribosomal RNA", at positions 70 to 725 of the family's 1533-position model. Lineage: Bacteria; Pseudomonadati; Bacteroidota; Bacteroidia; Bacteroidales. The record is from RNAcentral.
GGAAGAAAGCUUGCUUUCUUUGCCGGCGACCGGCGCACGGGUGAGUAACACGUAUCCAACCUGCCCUUUACUCGGGGAUAGCCUUUCGAAAGAAAGAUUAAUACCCGAUAGCAUAAUGAUUCCGCAUGGUUUCAUUAUUAAAGGAUUCCGGUAAAGGAUGGGGAUGCGUUCCAUUAGGUUGUUGGUGAGGUAACGGCUCACCAAGCCUUCGAUGGAUAGGGGUUCUGAGAGGAAGGUCCCCCACAUUGGAACUGAGACACGGUCCAAACUCCUACGGGAGGCAGCAGUGAGGAAUAUUGGUCAAUGGGCGCUAGCCUGAACCAGCCAAGUAGCGUGAAGGAUGAAGGCUCUAUGGGUCGUAAACUUCUUUUAUAUAAGAAUAAAGUGCAGUAUGUAUACUGUUUUGUAUGUAUUAUAUGAAUAAGGAUCGGCUAACUCCGUGCCAGCAGCCGCGGUAAUACGGAGGAUCCGAGCGUUAUCCGGAUUUAUUGGGUUUAAAGGGAGCGUGAGGUGGACUGGUAAGUCAGUUGUGAAAGUUUGCGGCUCAACCGUAAAAUUGCAGUUGAUACUGUCAGUCUUGAGUACAGUAGAGGUGGGCGGAAUUCGUGGUGUAGCGGUGAAAUGCUUAGAUAUCACGAAGAACUCCGAUUGCGAAGGCAGC